Molecule: unclassified non-coding RNA, 314 nt
Filed under: air metagenome
Description: partial contains small subunit ribosomal RNA, internal transcribed spacer 1, and 5.8S ribosomal RNA
Rfam family: Eukaryotic small subunit ribosomal RNA (bases 1-46)
Source: RNAcentral
AAGUCGUAACAAGGUUUCCGUAGGUGAACCUGCGGAAGGAUCAUUAUUGAAAUAAACCUGAUGGGUUGCUGCUGGUUCUCUAGGGAGCAUGUGCACACUUGUCAUCUUUAUAUCUCCACCUGUGCACCUUUUGUAGACCUGGAUAUCUUUCUGGAUGCCUAUGCAUUCAGGUUUGAGGAUUGACUUUGCAGUCUUUCCUUACAUUUCCAGGGCUAUGUUUCUUCAUAUACCCCAAUGUAUGUCAUAGAAUGUAAUAAAUGGGCCUUUGUGCCUAUAAAUCUAUACAACUUUCAGCAACGGAUCUCUUGGCUCUC